Molecule: non-coding RNA, 7943 nt
Filed under: Cordylochernes scorpioides
Lineage: Eukaryota; Metazoa; Arthropoda; Arachnida; Pseudoscorpiones; Chernetidae
Source: RNAcentral
UAUGUGUAUAAAUCGAGGAAGUUGACUUUUUGAUUAAAUUUGAUUUUAUCAUUAUUUUUUAGAUUUGGAUACAGAGGAUAGAUCUUUUCUAUUAAUUUUCAAAAAUUGUUAUUAUUGAAUAUAAGAAUGUCAUCCUGUAUCGGAACAACCACCAGUUAACUUUGUUAAGAGAGAAGAAUUCCCUCUCAUACCAAAAUAACAGGAGGUUGGCCAAUAAUGGACUAGAUGACGUACCCAUUGGUACUCCUUGUUUUUGAUUGUAAAUUUGAUUUUUAAUUUGGAUAUAAUUGAAUUUAAGGAAUGUUUCUAAAAGUAUUUUACUUUAUUCUCUAGUUAAUUACAAUGGUUUUGUUGCCAUUGUGAAUUAAGGGUAUAUUAAAUGUCUUGUCAAUUAAAAAUUCUGAAAAUAGAUCAAUAAUUUUGAGUUAAAGAUCCUCCAACUCGAGUUUAGAGAAGAGGUCUUCAAAAUCAAAAGUAUAAACUGAUUUGAGUUUGAGAAGGUUUUUGUUAAUAAAAUUUAAUACAUUUUUUUAUUGGAGUCAAUAAAAUUGUAUUUUUCUUUAUUGCAGAUCUUUUUUGUCAAGAAUUUUAAGGCUGAAGCUAGUUGAAGGUCUAAUUUGCUAAAGUUAUAAGUCUGAAUUUGAGAGGAUUUUUAUGAAUUUUGGGUAUAAUAUAAAUAUAAGGUAUAAUGGAAGAUUUUUUGCUAUAAAUUUUCUUUAACGUCUAAUUACUUUUAUUUGAUUCGGAGUUAUAUUUGAUACACUGUAUUUAUCACUGUUGUAAAUUUCUUCCAUAAUUAAGUCGUGAUAUAAAUUUUUGCAGGUAAUUGAGAAGUUGUUGGAGCAUUUGAUGUGCUGAUUUCCAACGCUUUCGUCCCGAAAUCCAUGAAGGCUCUUUCGUUCUCAGGGAGUUCACGAAAUAUACUUCCUGCUAUAUAAAAUAAUAAAAGUUGCGAUUCAGAAUACAUUAUAUUUUUCUCUUGAAACAGUCACACAUAAAAAAAUAAAUAAAACAGGCAAUGAGAAUAGAUUGGGAGAAUAUACAUGAAUAUAACCUGUUUAAAAAAAAUAUUAUGAAAAGUUACUUAUCUUAGUUUGGUGCUUCAGUUGGAUGGGUGGAAAAUUCCUUACACUAAAAUCUUGAAAGACUACAGUUUGGCUGAUUUCUCAGGAGCCUGACUCCCCACUCUCCCUCUUCCCCCCCUAUCUUCUUUUUUUUUUUCCUUAUCGCCUUCCUCAAAAAGUGCACCAAAAAUUAUUUUAACAGAGUAAAGAAAAAAUUCUAUAAUAUUCCAAAUUAAAAAAAUAAAAAAUUUUGAAAAUGAAAAAUUAUAAUUAAAAGUUAUUAUUCAAAAUACUAUUUUAAUUGACGAAUAUUAUUAGAAAAUAUUAAAACAAAAUAGCUGCUUAUUUAUUUAAAAAAAAAAAAAGGAAAUUUAUUAUAAUAUUAUAAAUUAUAUACAUAAUUAGGAAUAAAAGGAGGUGAAGAGAUGAGCUGGUUUGACAAUGAAAGAAUGCUCGAAAUCCUCUUCUUUCUUGUCGAGGCAGCUUCAUCAUUGUCCACCAGCUUUCUAUUGGGUACUGUGGGUGAACUUUGUGGAGGCCCCAGGAGUGGCCUCUACACAUUUAUCAAUUGGAGUAAUAAUAUAAUCUUCUUGGAUAAUGUUGAUGUUUUCUUUUAAUGUUUGAGAGAGAAGUUUUUACAAUUUUUAGAGUAUUGUGGUAUUAUUCCUUGAUAUUUGUUUGAUAAUUUCCAAUUAAAGAAGGUAAAUUCAGGUAUCUUGUAUUUUAGGCUUGUUCUAAUUAAUGAAGAGAUUAAGAUCUUGGUUGAUGGAAUUAACCGUGUUGUUGUAAUUGUGGUUAAUUGGAGGUAUAAAUUUAUAGCCGUUGUUGAGUAUGACUUGUAAUUCUUUAUUUAAGAAUGUAAAGUCACUAGUUAGAAUAUGACCUUUAAAUUUAUGUUGGUCACUUAUAGUAUUGCAAUUAUUAGGCGUUACUGUAACUUCCUGGUACAGCCACUUGGGAAGUGACUCCAAGCGCUGCGGUCCUUCUGGAAGAGUUUUUCUGAGCAAUGUGUUUCUACUCUUUUGGGAAGAGCUUUAACUACUGAAAUUUUAUGAUGUACUGUGCCAAAAUAAUUGAAAUUUAAGUAAUUUCCUGUGUGGAUUGAUUUUCUAAAAAUUAUGCUCUCAAUUUGGUUAUGCUUUCUUUUAAGUUGGAUAUCUUAAAAUGCUAAAGAAUUAAUAUUUUCAUUUGUAAAUAAUUCAAAUCUUUUCAAAAGAUUUGAGAUAUCUGUUUCGGUUAUACAAAAAAUGUCAUCAAUAUAUCUUUAUCAUAACGUUUUAUGAUUUGAUCAAUUUGAUUCACGGAAAUGUUUGCUUAGGUGGAAAUAGGUUUGCCCAUUGGUAGACCUUUGAUUUGUCUGUGGAAUUGGUCUUUAAAGCUGAAAUAACUGUUCUAAACAAAGUUUAAUUAAGCCUCUGAAGAGAACUUUCAUCUAGAAAGUUUUAAAAUGGCUUUAUUAUAUGGAAUUGAUGUGUAGACUUAAUCAAAUGACACCAUAUAGCUGGAAAUUGACAGGUUUUUGAUUGUUUCUACAGCUACUGUCGUUGACACUGAUGUUCCUAUUAAUUUGGCACAUAUUGCAUGAAGGCCUUUAUGACAUCCAGUGCAAAUAGUUCGGGAUAUUUUUCGGUUUUGUGGAGUUCUGCACUUUGAGGCAAACUCUGGACUUGAAUCUGGCUGGUUGAAGGAUUGCAAGGUUCUUGAAUGUUUUCCACCAUGCGUACCCCUUGCUCUUGGUACGGUCCAACUUGUAGUAAAGCUGGGCCAUGGACACUCGAUAGAGAGCGUCGACACUAAAUUGUGCGUAGCGCACUGGUGACAGUAGUCCUUGGGUGGAGACUGCGUCGAAACCAAUGCCUAUGGUGGUGAUGGGCACAGCGUAUUCAGUUGGGGUCUGCUUUUCAGCGGCCGCCAACAGAGGAGGAGUUUAGAUGAAGAGCCUGCUCUCCAAUUCUUUCGUGAGAUCAGAUAUAAAUUCAGCAUUCUUCUUUUCACGAAGUUGGAGACUGCGCUGAGUGUGCUUCUCUUCAUUCUUUUUCUUCUGGGCCUGUGGAUGGAAGGCACUACUGGGGUUAUCACAUUUCUUGGGGGGAGGAUGUGAUGUAUUAUUUGGAAUAUUUAUGGUAAUGUCCUCAUAGUACAAAUAAUGAGGUGUGAUGUAUUAUUUGGAAUAUUUAUGGUAAUGUCCUCAUAGUACAAAUAUUGAGGUGUGAUGUAUUAUUUGGAAUAUUUAUGGUAAUGUCCUCAUAGUACAAAUAUUGAGGUCUGAUGUAUUAUUUGGAAUAUUUAUGGUAAUGUCCUCAGUACAAAUAUUGACAUCUGAUGUAUCAUUUCGAAUAUUUAUUGUAAUGUCCUCAUAGUACAAAUAUUUGAUUUAUAAAUGCUACGUCACCCCCCUCUUUAUUGGGGUUUAUUGUAGAGCUAUAAUUUGUAACUUGUGUUUGUCAGCUAUUUCCAUUAUUUAUUCUAAUUUUAUUUUUGUUGCCGUUGAGCACAUUCCAUUUAUGUUGCACUUCAAAAUGCUUAAUUGUUUGGAAGCUGCAAAGUUGUGUGGAGACUGUAUUAUACUUAUCGGACAGAACCCUCUACCAAUUAAUUGAAGGAAAGACUGUGAACACAUUGCCAAAAAUUGAGAUGAGGACGGUGGUGUUUUUUACAUUUGACAAGCUUCUUAUACACACACACAAGCCUUUUUAUUGGGGCAUCCAGCCCUAUUCAUGAUUCCCCUCUACAGGAUUUAGCAAAGGAAGAUAUUUCAAAAGUAAAAACUAGAAUACAAGAAGUAAUAAGGAAAAAGAAAAGAGAGAAGAAAGAAAAAAACAAACAAAAAGAAAUAUAACCAUAUAUACAAAAAAUAAACAUACAGAGCAAAAGGAACCAUACAUGAUUAAAUAUUUAAAAAAAGUACCAAUGUUUAGAAUAUGUCAAGGUUAGGAUAUCAUUGAGGGCUAGUGUGGAAUCAGCCGCAUUCAGUCUUCGUUUUCUUCCUCCAAGCAAACCAUGACAUUCGGUUAAUCCAUUAUUCUCCAAAGGAUAUCCUUCAACUAUUUUCCCUUCUAUUUGGUCGAGUAAAUUUUUGCAGUUGGUCAAAUAGUUUUCGUUUGGUGGCAAAGUAAGCAAAAAUCAUACACACUCGCAUUUCACCGUCCAACCUCAGACAGAUCAUAAUCCAUUGUUUUUCAAUUUCAGUCCUUUCAAUCUUGUCUUUUAUAGCUUCUCGCAUCCCAACAAUAAUUCCCCCCGAUGAUCUACCCUUCUUGUGGUCUCUCUGAGCAAGUGGUUCAUACAGAUGAAAUCCUGUUGGUUUGUUCUUCAGAUGUUGAUCCUUCCAUGUUCCUGUGAGUGCAAAAAUGCUGAACUUUUCUAAAUGUGUGAAUAGGUCGACUUGCAGCAACAUCCUUUCCAAUCCAUUAACAUUCCAACACAGCACUUGUGUGUCGUCUUUGAACGAAAAACAAGAUUGUUUAUUUACAGUAGUUUGCCCAUAAGUAUUUUUAUUUACAGAGGAUUGGGGAUUUGUCACUGGCUAUAAAGCAUUGUCGCCACUUUGGCUCAUUAUUCUACCAUUUGUAACGUAAUAGUCAAUCCCACCAACUAUGAGCCUGUUAUCCCGUAGUUUCGUGGCAAUGUUUCCGAACUCGUCGUUGUCCCUGCUUCCUUCCGUCCCUUGUUCCAUUUGUCCGCCUCGUCGAGGAAUUUCACCGCUUGUAGGAAGUCGGCCUCUUCUGGGUUCCGCAUGGUACUCCAUGAGGCUGCCAGUAGUAGGCAGUCUUUUGGAGCCAAUGCCCACAAUGCCUCCUUGUUUGAAUCGAACGGCGAAAACUCACCUGUCGUCGCGUGGGCCGUAAUGAGGUUCAUUAAGUAUUUCCCCGUAGCUUCCGUGAACUGGGGCCGUCUCAUUUUCUUCAGUUCGUUACCCCUACUACGUGCCUGGCCGUCGUUCCUUGGGUAGCAAAGUUUCAGUGCUUCCAAGACGUCUUCAAGUGCGGCUGAAGGUUCAAACCUGCACUUGAUAAAUUCGCGGCCGUCAAGUGGAAGCUGCCGUACUAGGGCCUUCGUCCAGUCUCUCUUCGGUACCUUGCUCGCCUUCAGCCACGUUUUGAACUCCUCCACGUAGUCUUCGAUAUCUCCCUCCUCCGGGUUGAAACAAGGCGUCCCUCCGUAGCCGAUACUUAUGUUUGCGGCUUGAGGUGCUGGGCCGACACUGCUCUCCACCAUGUGAUGAGGCUGAAGUGGGGAUGUAAAUCUCAGUUUAUUUGAUGGUGGUAGGGCGUUGUCCUGGUGGGCUAUGGUCACCAGGGUCCGUUCCAAGGCUGGGUUCGGGGUCCAGUUGCGGAGGGUCGUUCUCCGUUGCUCGUCGGUGUAGUCGUAGGCGUUGUUGUUACCUCCAGCUCCUUGGGGAGUUUCUGGAUCUGAUUGACAUAAGGUUUGAGAAAAGCUGGCUGCUUUGUACGUACCAUGGUCUCUGGAUGGCUUAGUUGCAUUCUGUCGAGGAUUCUUUUCAAGUAUCUGUUGUUGGAUUGGACUUUGUUGUUGUUUUUGUUUAGUAAAGUUCUUAAAAAGCUAGCAGCUUUGUAUGUACCAUGGUAUAUCCAGGUCUCUGGAUGGCUUAGUUGCAUUCUGUCGAGGAUGCUUUUGAAGUAUCUGUUGUUGGGUUAGACCUUGUUGUUGUACUUGUUUAGCAAAGUUUCUGAAAAAGCUGGCAACUUUGUAUGUACCAUGGUAUAUCCAUGUCUCUGGAUGGCUUAGUUGCAUUCUGUCAAGGAUGUUUUUAAGUAUCUGUUGUUGGGUUAGACCUUGUUGUACUUGUUUAGCAAAGUUUCUGAAAAAGCUGGCAACUUUGUAUGUACCAUGGUAUAUUCAGGUCUCUGGAUGGCUUAGUUGCAUUCUGUCGAGGAUGCUUUUGAAGUAUCUGUUGUUGGGUUAGACCUUGUUGUUGUACUUGUUUAGCAAAGUUUCUGAAAAAGCUGGCAACUUUGUAUGUACCAUGGUAUAUCCAGGUCUCUGGAUGGCUUAGUUGGAUUAGAUGUGUUCUGAAGAAGGCUUGUACCGGGUUGUUGACAGUUCCGCUCUCUUUCUUUCUGCUUGUUGUUGCUCAUCCUGUCGACUCCUGAGAGAAAGUGUAAUUCAGCUGUGUUAUCCAAGUUUCUGAUGUCUUCAGUUCAUAUUCGUGACCACUCUUGUUCUCUGGUAGUUGAGUUUCCUUACGGGCUAAUUGGCCAUUUCAGGCAUGGUCUUCUAGCCCCAACCUGUUCUCAGGGAGUUCACAAUAUAUACCCUGCUAUAUAAAAACAAACGUAACUUGCCAAUAUUCUGCACACACUGGGGUUAAUUGACUCUACGCCAAUUAACCACUCAGAGCCAAAGUUGAGAUUCAAAACAAUUUCAUUUAUUCUAUACAGAAUGGUCAAACAGAAAAGAAAAAAGGCAAUGAGAAUAAAAUGGGCAAAAUAUAAUUAACCUGUUAUAAAAAAUAUUAUAAGAAGUUACUUAUCUUUUUGGUUGCCUCAGUUGGAGGGCUAGUAUGGAAAUUUUAUUCACUAAAAUUUUAAAACUACAUUUUUGGAUGAUUUUCUUAAAAUUGUCCCUAAUCUAAAAAAGAAAAAAUACUAUCCAGAUCUUUUUGUUUGAGAAUAAAUCUGGAGGCGGGGAUGGGGGGACUUCCAUUUUAAAAGGAAGGGAAGAGGAAAGUCUGUAAAGUGUGGAUAAGAGUUUGAUCAUAAGGUCCAAAAAGAACACCCACAUAAGAGCGAAGUAUGCAAUAGUUGUUUAUCUUUAAACACAUAUCCAUAAUAAAUGUAUGUCUGGAACUGUUGAAUGAUGCAAUUAUUUGUUACAAUCUGUCAUCACUAUUAAUAUAUGAAAGCUUAUAUUUGAAUCAUUUUUAAAGGGUAAAAUUAGUACUGUUAUGCUUAUCAUCUAAAUGUGAAAUGUAAUCUAUAUGUAAUCUGAUUAAACUGGAAUUAGUUCAAUAAGUAUAUUGUAAAUGAAGAUGCUCUACAUAAUUUUUAUUUUAGUUUAUAAUAUAAAUUGAGAGAUUAUAAGACCAUUGUUAAAUAUUGAUUUUUUAAUGCAAAUUUACUUGUUUAUAUAUUUGUGUUUGUGUAUAUAUGUAAAUAUAUAUAUAUUUAUGAUGUAAAUCUCCUAACCAAAUGUAUCUUGAAUAUUUUGUAUAAUAAAUAUGUUUACACUUUUAUGUCUGUAUUUAUUUAUUUAUUUAUUUAUUUAUUUAUUUAUUUAUUUAUCUAUUUAUUUAUUUAUCUAUUUAUUUACAUAACAGCAAAGGGCAUACAUUCAAUGAUCAAUAUCUCAAGAUGGUGUGAAAAUCCUUCAAUUGACAGGAUAUUCUGCCACAUAUAGUUUAAAAAUCAAAUAGCCUUUUUGGUCAAAUUUUGUAGUAAGCGACUGCUUUUACUCUAAGUGCACCACAUGUCUACACAGGUGAAAAGCAGCUCGACUUUUAAAUUUACAAGUGUGCCAAUCCCUGUUUGAUUACUUGCACUCGCUGGUGGGGUUAGAUUUUUGCAAGAAUCAGGGGCCAUUGUAACAUUUUAUUUUUUUUAAUUUGAAAAACGUGCUCAAUGCAGGAUUCAAUUCCGGGUCGUAGAGGUUGAAAACCAAACACUGACGCUCUGGAAAUAUAUUACUGGUGUGCCCUGUGCUACACAGCAUCUACCACUGAAAAAAAUAUUGGGUGGAGUACAACUCUGGUUUUUACAGGAUAGCGGCUCAUAGAAUUGGAUCACUCUUAUGGAAUAUUCACACAGUGUAUGGAAGUUUCCUGUGGUUUUACAGCUAUUGGUCUACAAAACAUAAUGACAGGAAUUGAAGUCAGUUUAAAAGGCUUAUAUGCUGUUUUGUCAUACGUCUUUAUGUCAU